Long non-coding RNA from Salvia miltiorrhiza (redroot sage), 459 nucleotides. RefSeq lists it as uncharacterized. The transcript has 2 exons. NCBI's taxonomy places the organism in Eukaryota, Viridiplantae, Streptophyta, Magnoliopsida, Lamiales, Lamiaceae. The record is from RefSeq and is a predicted model, not a curated record.
UGGAAUAAAUAUAUAGUCAUAUAAAAGGAGAGAUCUUCACUUCUAGGGUUUCAUGCGCCGCACUCAAUGUAGUAAUUCUAGGGCUUCUCCCCAAACUCAACCCUAAAUCUAUCUGCGCACAACCUUUAUCAGAUCGAAAACUCCCAAUCUCUAGUCCAAACCUUUCAACCUCUUGCACAAUUCGAAACUCUUUCUAAAAUUUCAGAUCUGCGUUCUUCUUUUUCGAAAUAAACGCCCCACAAAUCAACGCUCUUCUUCAAGUGAAAAAAUCACUUGUACAAAUUCAGAUGCUCAAGCGCAAUCGCAUCUGUUUCUGCCAACUGUAGCCAUACCCUCAGACACAAUAUGCAACAUUUGGGAAGCAGAAAACAUAAAAAACCGAAGCAUCUUCAUCAAAUCGGAGUAUUAUGUUUAAAAAGUUUUACCAGAAUCAUUGUACCAACGAUUCUAAAACAAAAG